UAAAAUUUUAAUAUUAUUUAUUUAUUCCCGAUUUAAGGAGGGCUAUAAGGUUUAUUUAUUUUAAUGUGAAAUAAUUAUUUAUAAUAGACUUAUAGAAAUAAGAUGUUAUUCGAACUUUAAGAUAUCUGGUUUUUUAAGAAAUGAAUUUAAUUUAUUGUUUGAUAUAUAGUUUGAUAAUUUGUUAUUUAAUUAUUAUUAAAUAAAAAUAUUUUUAGGGAUAAGCUUGAAAAUAAAAUUCUAAUGAAAUUUAUUGAUAAUACUUAAUGGGAUUGGAGGUUUCUAUUUAUAAAUAGUGUGUUAUUACAAGGUAUUUGUUGAAAAGUAUUUAUAUGGAAAUUUAGAUUAUUAUUAGAAUUAUAAGUUUAAUUAUAAAUCUUAGGUUAUAAUGAUUAAAUUAGUAUAAAUUGUUUAAUAAAGUAAUUUGAAUAGGUAGGUAAAAUGAAAGGAAUUCGGCAAAUUGUGUUUUCGCCUGUUUAUUAAAAACAUGGUUUUUUGAUUAUAAUUUAAAAUCGGACCUGCCCACUGAGGUAUUAAAUGGCUGCAGUAUAUUGACUGUACUAAGGUAGCAUAAUAAUUAGUUUUUUAAUUGGAAACUGGAAUGAAAGGUUGGACGAGAAAUAAGCUGUCUUUAUUUUAAUUAAUUGGAAUUUUACUUUUGAGUAAAAAGGCUUAAAUUUGAUUAAAAGACGAGAAGACCCUAUAGAACUUUAUAUUAUUAUAUUUAAUAAUUUUUAGGUAAUUAUUAUUCUUAAUUUUAAUGAUAUUUGAUUGGGGCGAUUGAAAAAUUUAAUAAACUUUUUUAUGUUAAACCAUUAAUUUAUGAAUAAAUGAUCCAUUAUUAUGAUUAGAAGAUUAAGUUACCUUAGGGAUAACAGCGUAAUUCUUUUUGAUAGUUCAUAUUGGAAGAAGGGAUUGCGACCUCGAUGUUGGAUUAAAAUUAAUUUUGGGUGUAGUAGCUUGAAAAUUAGGUCUGUUCAACCUUUGAAAUUUU
Molecule: ribosomal RNA, 991 nt
Filed under: Ceracupes fronticornis
Lineage: Eukaryota; Metazoa; Arthropoda; Insecta; Coleoptera; Passalidae
Description: partial 16S ribosomal RNA
Rfam family: Archaeal large subunit ribosomal RNA (bases 442-630)
Source: RNAcentral